UGAGGAAUAUUGGUCAAUGGGUGCAAGCCUGAACCAGCCAUCCCGCGUGAAGGACGACUGCCCUAUGGGUUGUAAACUUCUUUUGUAUAGGGAUAAACCUACCCUCGUGAGGGUAGCUGAAGGUACUAUACGAAUAAGCACCGGCUAACUCCGUGCCAGCAGCCGCGGUAAUACGGAGGGUGCAAGCGUUAUCCGGAUUUAUUGGGUUGAAAGGGUCCGUAGGCGGACUUAUAAGUCAGUGGUGAAAGCCUGUCGCUUAACGAUAGAACUGCCAUUGAUACUGUAAGUCUUGAGCAUAUUUGAGGUAGCUGGAAUAAGUAGUGUAGCGGUGAAAUGCAUAGAUAUUACUUAGAACACCAAUUGCGAAGGCAGGUUACCAAGAUAUAACUGACGCUGAGGGACGAAAGCGUGGGGAGCGAACA
RNAcentral lists this ribosomal RNA (422 nucleotides) under uncultured bacterium. RNAcentral describes it as "bacterial SSU rRNA". It matches the Rfam family "Bacterial small subunit ribosomal RNA", at positions 355 to 774 of the family's 1533-position model. The record is from RNAcentral.